AAAUUUCACCCAGCCCAUGACCCGAACCGACCCAGACCAUUGACCCAUUACCCCUUUACCUAAAAAAACCUAGACAAUAUCAUAAUCAGAAGACCCCCCCCCCCCUUAAAGAAGAGAGAAAAACAGCGCAUCUAGAACCAACUCCCAUUUUCUUCUUGACUAUCAUUUUCAACCCCAAAUCAAAAGCUUCAUCAGAGAGCCCUCACACUCAAAAAAUCGGACCCUCCUCUCUACAAGAAAUAGGGCAUCGGCGCAAAAGAGAGAUCUGAACCCCAUCUCCCCUCAUCUCUCACUCUCUCAUUCAUUGAUGUACACACACACGAAAGAGCUGAGAAGUUUUGGUUUUUGUUUUCUUGGGGAAAUUCACAAAAAAAGGAAAAAGAAAAGAGUUUCAAAGUCAGAUUUGGAACCAAAACUUUGGAAAAGCAUAAUCAAAUAAGUAUUGAAGACGAGUUAGUCACUGGAACUUUAAAACUCAAAUCCUUCUCCUUUCGUGUUUACAAAAGCUGUUGAAGAUGGGAUUCAUUUGGGUUUCAUGCUGAUUUUUGUGGCUUCUGUUUUGAUUGAGCUUGAUUUUCGUCAUUGUUUCCUUUCUAAAUCUAGAGAUAUACUUCCUUAUUGUUUUGUUCUGCUGUAAUCAGGUACGACACUUUGGUUGAAUAAUAUAAAGCUCAUAUUUGCUUGGGUGAGAUUUGUAUGGAAUUAUUCCGAUUUCAUCUAUUUUAUUUCUACGACUGAUUGAUAGCCAGUUUUGUUUUCUUUUUGCGAGUUUGCUAAACUAUUGUGAUUUGUUUGAAAUGUGAUGAUGAAUUUAAAGUUUGAGUCUAGUAUGCUUACUCUGUAAAAUAAGGAAAAGGAAGGAUUGAAAUCUGUACUUUUUCUUUUGUUGAGUAAAAUGGGUUGAAGGAUAAAAUUUGAGUAAGCACGGGAAAAACAGAACAAAGAUAGAUCCGAAAAUUUCAGCCAUAAACCAACUUUGAGGUUCAUGUUCCGCUCGUAAAAUCGAGUUUUUGAGUAAUUCAUUUUGAUGAGGCAUUACUGGUUAGACCCUACUGAUAUUGUGAAGUGGUAAUAUCCUGUUGCUUAACUUGCAAAUGUCGAGAAAUAUUGGUUGAAGCAGAAACAAAUCGAUUUAGUUCUUCGAUAAAAUUUAUUUAUAUGUGGAUCUGUUCUUUUGUAUUUGAGCAUGUCUUGGAGUUGUUAUAUUAAUUCUCGGGUUCAUCUCGCUUUUUCUGAUUUGCACAUGACUACAGUACAUUGCUUAUGAAUACUUGAUCUCUAUUUUUAUUCUAGUGUCUUGUUUAUUUUGCCUUAUUUGUUUGUUCAUGUGAAAAACAUUUCCUGUUUCUGCCCUUAUUCUAAUUGUCAUCAUGAUGUUUUCAUUUUGAUGAGGCAUUUUAGUUCUUGUUUGUUAAUUUGUCAUUCUGAUUGAUGGAGAUUUGGGGGGCAUGACAGUAUUUAGGCCACAAAUAGAUAAGGAGUGCACAUGAUAGUUUUGGAUUGCAAAAGCGUUAAAGUUUGGGCCUGUAUUAUUGAAUUUUAUUGGGCCCAAACGUCAAUAGGACUACAAACUAGCCCACCUUUCCAUAAUUAAUUUACCUCAUUUCUUCCGCAAUGAACAUCGUAGUUUGCUUUAGGCACGAACUUGACAAAUGUUGGUUUUAAAUAAUGAAUGGCUAGUAAUUAAGUACAAUCCUUUAAAAUAAAUUGAGGCGUGCCAUUCACAAUUGAAUCCCAUAAUCUAUGGCCCUCACAUUAAAUACCAAAACUAGUGUGAAAAAUACUUGGAACAUUUAUAAUUAGUGUAGAAAACACUUUGAACAUUCAUAGUUUGCUUUAGGCACGUUUAUAAUAAAAUAAUCAUAGCUACGGGUACGGUUCCCGUGACGUAGUUGUGAUACAUAAUUUCUAAAUUCGGGGGAUACAUUUAUGUGACUCGACCACAACUUCUAAUAACGUUAAUAAAUUAAACAUGUUGUAGAUCGUGGGUACAGUUCCCGUGACACGAUUCGCAAUGUGUAUCAAACAAACAAGUGUACGACAAUCAUUACAUGUUCCAGAAUAAUUCCAUAAUUAAUUAAAAGCGGUUAUAAAGUUAAAAAUGCACAAUAAGUUUUAAAAUAUGUAAUAAAUCAGAUAAUAGGCCAAUUAUUAAUAGUUAAGCGACCGUGUUAGAACCACGGAACCCGGGAAUGCCUAACACCUUCUCCCGGGUUAAUAGAAUUCCUUAUCUAGAAUUUCUGGUUUCGCAGACUUUUAAAUAAAGUCGAUUUUCCUCGAUUUGGGAUUUUAAAAAUAAACAGGUGACUUGGGACACGAAAUAAAUUAUUCCAAGUGGCGACUCUGAUUAAAAUAAAAUAAUUCCAUUUCGAUUUAUGUCACUUUAAUUGGAAAAACUCCCUUAUAUACCCCUCGGGUGUAAAAAGGAGGUGCGCUAGCUCCUUCUCCCCAGUUGCCAUGAUCUCGUACCGUUGCUCAACAAAAUUUCUCAUAAGUUCUCGUUGCACUAAUUAUAACACAUCCCGAAUUAUCAGCCACAAUCGCACACUUGACCUCCUGACAGUCUUACCCUCUUCUUUAAGCGAUCCAAGCUCACAUCACAGUACAUGCAUCCCAUUGGAUAGAAGGCAUAACUUUUAUAGGAACUUCAUCAAGAGUCAUGCAACCCUAACCUUCUCACAAGAUAUAGCCCACCUAUGUAACCUUAUACCGACAUCCUCCAACGGCAUAGCCACAACCACGUCCAUUAUGAUAUCAGUUGAUUCUCCUAGGUCCACACUCAUCCUCCAGCUACAAGAGUCUGUUUAUCCUAUUAGCAUCAAUUGAAGGUCCAACAACGUUCCAAAACUCGAAGUCAUGUUGCGUCCUAAACGAUAAUCAAGCUUACACAACUCUCUAUGUUCUAAGGAAAUUAACUUCCUAAGGAAACUACUCGAUCUCUGAUGCUCGUGCUUAACCUGCUAACAACUCAUCUACCCCGAUACAUAACCUUACAUGUCUUUUCUCAUCCUUAGCUACUAAAAUACUGCCUCAAAUCAUAAUCCAUAUCUGUAGCAUCUGAACUAAUGAAUGAUCCACCAACUCUAAGCCUCCAUAAAGAUCAUCUUUCUCGAGCCAUCAACACUAGAAACACCAAUUCAACCCUGAAGCUGCCACAUACCGCCAUAUCUGAUACUCGCUUCUUAGGUACCAUUUCACAACACCCAGCCCUGAAGGCAAACCAAUGAAGACCAUCAAACCAACAAGCAUAAAUGCGUUCAAAUAAAGAUGACGAUACCACUUCACAAACAAGAAUUCCACCAAGUUCAAAAAUAUCCAAUCUCGCUAAUUCGUCAACCAAAGCCUAAACAUCCAUAGUCCGAUUGCCUCUAUUCCGCUGGAGUUAAAUGCCAAAUCUCCAAACCAUGAAUUGAGAAAUACUUCUCUUGGGACAUUCACUACCAUAGCACAUAAAUAAGCACCUUAUAAUACAUUGUGCAUAACCUUAAAACAAUUCGAUUGUGCAUCACCUUGAAUCCAUUCACCUUCCUCAUUUUUGAUCUUGUGAAUAUAGAGUUUCCUUCUCCUUCCUCUUAUGAGACUGUGAAAGUAUCUUGUGUUUGUAUAACCUUCCUUUGCAAUUGUGUUUUCUACUUUAAGACUGCCUCUUCAACUUUCAAAUGCCUUACAUAUUGAGCUUGGAUUUCAUGCAAGGUUGCUAUAUCUGUAGGAUCAUUGGGGGCCAGCCAUUUUUCUUCUGCUUCUUUCACUUUCUGUUCAAGUUAUUUUGGCUUUUGAAAAAUGUCACCAUACUGUUCCCUAGACCAUUUUCUUAAUACCUUUGAAGUGGCUUUGAGCUUCUGAUGAAAGAUCCACAUGGGGUGCCCAUCAAUCUCCUUCUCCCAAGUCUUCUGGACUAAGGGUAGAAAGGUAUCAUUGUCUACCCAACACUUGAGAAAUUUGAAAUAUUUUUGGUUGGCUUCCUGUCUCACAUUCACUUCCAUUAACAAUGGUAAAUGAUCUGACCCUGCAACAGCCAAGUGUGUGAUUGUGGUUGCAGGGUAUGAAGCUAACCAAUUAUCAUUAACAAAUCCCCUAUCUAAUCUUUUCCAAACAAUAGAGCAUGGACCUCUUCUAUUAGACCAAGUGUACCUUUGACCAUUAAAACCAAGGUCCACCAAUCCACAUUCCUCAACCAUGCUCAAGAAUUCAAUACUCUUCUUCAUUUGAUAAGGAAUGCCUCCAAUUUGUUCUUCAACCGAUGCAAUCACAUUAAAAUAACCAAUGACACACCAAGGCAUAUCACAAGAGGAUCUGUGCCUUAGGUUGUCCCAUAAAGGUCUUCUCAUGUUUUGUUUUCAUUUUUCAUAGAUGACAGUCAUAUGAAAAACCUGACCAACUUCUACAUGCCUUAAUUCAAUAAUCAAAUGUUGUUCAUCUGUGUCUAGAAUUGUAUCAUUGAAGUCCUGGUUUCAGAGUAUCCAAAUUUUAUUGUUGACAUUGGAAGCUGCAUGUUGCAUGCCCAGUUGGAUUUUAUAGUAGUUGAGGUAUUUGGUGUCAAGAAAUGGUUCUAGUACAACAAUGAAGGAAAGGUUGUGAAUUUGUUACAGAAUUCUGAGUCUCUCAAUGGCUCCAGAGGUUCUGAUACCUCUUGCAUUCCAGAUUAUUGUACUAAUUAUUAAAGGAUGAUGGAUUUUUUGGAUUGUUGGUUGUUACUGGAAGCUGUAGCUGCUCUGCUUCUGGUUAAUCUUGGUGAUGGCUGUGUAAACCUUGGUGACAGCCCUUGAGAAACAAUGAUUUGGUCUUGGUAUUCUUCCCCAUUGACUGUUUUGAUGAGGAGAUCACAAUGCUGAUCAUCAUCACUGUACUCAUCAUCCCCUUCACUUCCUUUUUCUAGUUCAUCCUCUGAAAGGAUAGGUCUAUACUCAUCAUCCUGAGGUAGAUGAGCCAAAUUGUCUUCAAACACAGUCAACCUCUUCUCAGCAGUUGAAAUGUGAUUGACACCCUCUCCUUUGUCAACUAGCAGAGGUUGCAAUUCAGUGGAAUCAACUUCCAAUUGAUGAUCAUCAGUUGUAAGGUCUUCCUGCAAGGCCUCAGAAUCCUGCUGAAUUCUUAAAGCCAUUUCCUUUUUCUGUAGAUUCCUUAUUUUCUUUUGGCUGGGGUUACUCUUCUUUUUGGUUUUAACUGGUGCAGUUUCCAUAACAUGUUGUUUAUCCAUUGCCUUCUUUUUGAGUUGUGCUAUAGUUUCCUCUUCAGAAGUGACAAUAAGCAGAGGAACUUGACCAGCAACAUCAUUCGUGGUUGCAGAGGUUAAGUCCAACCUAGGUUCAAUCAUAUGUGCAUUAGCACACUCAUGUAAAACAUGAGGAAGCCCCCUUGUUUGGAUCCCCAUCUCUAAGUUCUAAGGUUUCAUCCUGCCAAACCUCCAUUCCUCCAAUGACUUCAUUAAUAGAAACACAAAGGGGAAUAUGAGGAUUGGGUUGAUUCUGGGCACCAGAAUCAGCACUCCUCUCCAGUUGAGCUGGAGGAUUGUUAGAAAUCAUACCUGAUGGUUCAGAAACCUUUUGAGUGUUUUCUUUUGAUGGGUUCUACUAUUUCUGAACAUUAGGUUGUUUAGCAAUAUACAUUGCUUGUUGCCUUUUGGUGUUGUUCUAUGCAUUUCCUUUGGAUCUUCUAUUUUUCUGAGUUUGCCAUUCCUCUUGUGAAGGGUCUGCCCCUAAAAUCUGGUGUUCCUCGUUAUCUUGUGCUUGAUCGUUUUGGUGCCUGACCUGCUGUUGGUGUUGAGGAAUCUAUUUUUGCUGAGUAUCCUGGGUUUGUUAUUUUGGUAGUUGUUGUGGUUGUUGUGUCUCUGCUGUGGUCUUUUCUUGUUGUUUGUUUUGCUAUUUGGUUGUUGCAUUGGCUUUCCUCUUUUGUAUCUCUUCAUGCUUGGCUUUUUCUGGACAUGCAUGAGUUGCAUGAUCAAGGUGUCUAAAAUAUAGGCAGUAAUUAGGGAUGCUCUCAUAUUUUAUCUCCAACCAUUAGCCAUCACCAUUUUUAUCUUGGUUAUCAUCAUAGCCCAGCCACACAUGUUGAGGUCUGUCUUUGGUAAGAUCAAGUUGCAUUUUUACCUUGGCAACACUGCCUCUUGUUUUUUGAAAAGAUGCCAAGUCCAGGAACAUGGUCUUACCUAUAUAAGACAGUAGUGGAGUGAGGAUCUCCAUAUAAUAAAGGUGCCAAGGUAGAUCAGGAAUAACAAUCCAUACUGGCACAAUUGAGGAAUCUUCAUUGGGACUAAAAAGAGGUGUCCAAGCUUCAAUUUUCAUCAUUUGUCCUUGAAUGUACAUGAAUUGCUUGUUCCACAUAGUUGCAUGAUCAUAUUCAUUAUCUAGCUCAAUGUAGAUAGUCUUUGAAUUGAAAUGAGCAAUUUUGACUCCUCCCUUGAGCUCUAUUUGGUUUACAAAACUUCUUCUGAUAACAUCCAUCCUAGGCAUAGUAUUAGAGAAUUUCCCUACCACAGUAUACUUGCACCUAGUAGCCAUAGUGCCCAUGUAGUCUUCUCUUUUGAAAACCACUGCAAGUCUGACUUGUUUGGUGGUGAGCUUUGGAGGAGUGAAAUUGAUUGGUGUUCUAUUUGCUUCAAAUUUAGCCCUGAUUUUUGUAGCAUAGGAGUAGGUAACUGUUGUAAGAGAUGGCUCAGUGGUGUUUGGGGGGGUUUUUUUAGCUUGGUCUUUGGAUCCUGAAGGUUGAGGAAUUUCUUUGUUUGCAUUUGGGAUUAAUGAAACAGCAGCUGGUAUUUGUGGAGUUAUGUUUGGUGGGCUUAUUUUCCUGGUAGGUCGAUCAUAAUUGGCAGAGACCUUAGGUUGGUUAUUUGCUGACUUAGGAGGAUUAUAUCUGGGUUGUGGUUGGGACGUUUGAGGUGGUGAUGCCGCAUUGGGCACCUGUGCCCCUGUAGUUGCUGUGCUUUCUUUUUCAUUUGGAUUUUUGGGAAGAAAAUUGUUUGAGGUGUGUUGUGAGUUGAUGGUUCCGUUAGCUACAUCAAGGACAAGUACUUCACCUAGAUUAGCCACAGUUUGAGGCUCAGAUAUUCCUGAAGCAACAAGGCCCUGCACCUGUGUUGCUGCUAUGGAUGGGAGUAGUCGCUCACCAUUUUCUAUGGUGAUUUCUCAUGACGACUAGUUUCAAUAUGACCUUGUGUAGCACUACCAUUUAUUUGUUCAUUAAAAUCAGAAGCAAAACUAACCUGGGCAUUUCGUUGAACACCUGAAAAAGUGGAGUCUGCUGAAAUGGUUUUUAAAACAUUCGAGAAGUUUGGCUCGAUGGAGAUUGGAUUUGAUGAUUGAGAAACAAUCUCUUGAGCAUUAGGAAUCAUUUGGCAUUGGUCUUGGGCCAAUUGGUAUACGAGAACACCCUCCCCGGCCAACUGGUGCAAUUUUGGGCUCUUUGAUUCAUAAUGGUGAUCAAUUCCUUUGUUAGAUUGGUCAAAAACUUUGCAAGCAAGUUCCUUAGAUGUUUGAGAAGGACCAACGGCCAAUUGGCUUCAAUUUGGCUCAGAAUUGGAAGAGUCAUUUCGUCGAACACCUGUAUUACUCAGGCUGCCAGAUUCAUUUGAUUGCAAAAUUGAGGCUUGUGUUUGAUACCCAUGUAAAAUUGGAGGUGCAAUUAGGUUCCUCUCAUCAAGGUGAGCACUUUGGUACCAAUCUUUUUCCAAUUGAACAUCUUGAACACUAUGCACGACCAUUUCUGACACGCCGGCGAUCUACAGUGCGUCAGAGACGAUGGUUCCCACGGUGGAAUUCCUUGAAAAUUGGUGGGGAGGUGCGCUUUGUGAUGGGAAAGAGUUUCCACGGUUUGGAAUUUUUAAAUUUGGCCCAUAAAUCGCUUGGGAAAUAUCAGAACCUUCCAGGCGACUUUUAUGAACAGUGAUCUCUAUGCCAUUUUUGAGAUGUACUCCGACUGGGUUAAUGUUUUGGACCGAGGUUUAUUGGGGUAGAUGCGCAUUAAUGGGACACACAUUUUGGAGGUGGUCCGGUGGUUUUUGGCCACCAGACGGCAGAGCAGUGGCCAUAAAGGCGCACAUGCAUUACUGUAUCGGCAGAUCGUUUGUACAAAGAGUGUUUGGAAUUUUUUUGGGCGGGUGGCGCGGAUUCGGAUAGCAGAUAUUAAAAUCCCAAAUUGAGGGUUAGAGUAUUAUUUUCAUAUUUGAGUUGUAGAGCUCGGUUUUGGGCGAUCUUGGAUGGUAUUUUCACGUCUUGGAUCGGGGUAAGUGUUUUUGACUUAGAUAUGUUAAUAUUUCAUGAUUCCAUCUUCGUUUUUAGAAUUUAAUCAGUGAAUGAAAGUGAAGGAAUGGGGGAUUUUGUGGAAACUUUUCAAUAAUGAAAAAUGGAGGUUUGAAGGUCGAUUUGAGGUCGGAAUUAGAUGAUUUUGAUAUGCUUGGACUCGUAAUCUAAUGAGUGUCCGAAUUUUGUAAAUUUUGUCAGGUUCCAAGGUGUGAGUCCGGGGUUGACUUUUUGAUUUUUUAUAAAGAUCAAAACUUUACGAUUUGAAAUUGCUUCUUACGGAAUUUUUUUGUUGAUAUUGAGUUCUUAGUGACUAGAUUCGAGUCGUUUAGAGGCUGAUAUGCAUGGGAAGGGCUUGUUGGAGUUGUGAUUUGCGUGGUUUGAGAUAAGUAACAUAUCUAAACUUGGAGUUAAGGGCAUUUAACCCUAAGGACUAUGUUGUAUGAAAGAUAUUGGGGUGACGUACGUGCUUGGUGACAGGCGUGUGUGAGUGCACCAGUUUGUUCAUUGUUUGGGGAGGCCUUUAGGCUAAUACCAGACUUGUUUAUUAUCAUAUUAUAUUAUCCCCAUGUCCCCUCUACUUGUUUGAUUAUUUGAAUUGUGAAUCAUGUUAGACAUCAUAUCUAGGCUAUGUGCUAACUAUUUGAGACUUGAUAGGGCUAUUCUUGUUGUUUCUAAGUUAAAUACCUUAUUUGCACACAUGUUCUCAAUCAUGAUACUAUAUCCGAGUAUGAUAACUUUGUUUCAGUACUUCUUAUUUGAAUCCUCACAUGCUGCUGAUAUCGCUUAGGGGUAAAACUGUUUAAUUGAAUAUUUGAGAUAUGCUCAUUUGAGACUUGAAUGGUAAAUAACUGAGUUUGGGCCUUAUAGCCAGUUUGGUACUAAUUUUGAGGUGACGCAUACGCCAGUCCAAUAUUGGGCUGAGUGUUAUUAUUUUGAGGCGACGCAUGCACCAUGUCUCAUUAUUGGGCUAAGUAAUUAUAAUUAGUGCCUGGGCAGGAUUAGCCCCUCCGGAGUCUGACAUGCCAGUAGUGGGCGCAGGCAUAUUAUUUCAUAUAUGUACUUGAUGAUAGACAGUUAUGUCAGGCACCCAUACAGUGCUAAGUGUAAAUACUAUUGGUGGAUCUACUGUGAUACUAUUGAUUUACGUGUAUACUUGACAUGUAGGCGUAGAGAUGUACUUUUCUCAUGCUAACUGGUAUUGACUUGAUUUAUCCGUGUUGGGUUUUAAACUGAUAUACUUGAAAGCAUGCCCAAAUUUCUGAAAUUAGAACGAGUUGUACUUGAUAUCAUUGAUCUACUGUUUAUACGAUUAUCCUGUAUUUUCUGAACUGUUAUCGGUUAUUGGUACUGGCAUUUUACUAUUGUUCUGAGCUCAUCACUGCUUUCAGUCUAAGGUUAGUAUUGUUACUUAUUGAGUACAUUGGUUCGAUUGUACUCACACUACUCUCUGUACUUCGUGUGCAGAUCAAGGUACAUCCAACCGAGGUGAUUUUCAGGCUUGAGUUGUGCCAACUAUUUCGAAGACUAUGAGGUGGCUGCCAUACCGUCUGCAGUCCUUGAAGUUCUCUUCCAGUUAUCUUUAUCUUUACUAUUUGUCAUGUUCAGAAAGUUGUAUUAGAGGAUUUAUUUCGCACCUUGUUAUUCAGUAGUGCUCUGUAUUCUCAUAUAUUUGUUGGUAUUCUUCUAAUGUUGAAUUAUUAGACCAUAUUAUUUUAUUUCCA
Molecule: long non-coding RNA, 9958 nt
Filed under: Nicotiana tabacum (common tobacco)
Lineage: Eukaryota; Viridiplantae; Streptophyta; Magnoliopsida; Solanales; Solanaceae
Description: long non-coding RNA (NTAB_LNC000764)
Source: RNAcentral